RNAcentral lists this ribosomal RNA (454 nucleotides) under uncultured bacterium. RNAcentral's name for it is "bacterial SSU rRNA". It matches the Rfam family "Bacterial small subunit ribosomal RNA", at positions 355 to 801 of the family's 1533-position model. The record is from RNAcentral.
UGGGGAAUAUUGGACAAUGGGGGCAACCCUGAUCCAGCAAUGCCGCGUGUGUGAAGAAGGCCUGCGGGUUGUAAAGCACUUUUGGCAGGGAUGAAAAGCACUGGAUUAAUAACCCAGUGUGUUGACCUAACCUGCAGAAGAAGCACCGGCUAACUCUGUGCCAGCAGCCGCGGUAAUACAGGGGGUGCGAGCGUUAAUCGGAAUUACUGGGCGUAAAGGGCGCGUAGGCGGUCGAGUAAGUCGGAUGUGAAAUCCCCGGGCUUAACCUGGGAAUUGCAUUCGAUACUGCUUGGCUAGAGUGUGGAAGAGGGAAGCGGAAUUUCCGGUGUAGCGGUGAAAUGCGUAGAUAUCGGAAGGAACACCAGUGGCGAAGGCGGCUUCCUGGUCCAACACUGACGCUGAGGCGCGAAAGCGUGGGGAGCAAACAGGAUUAGAUACCCUUGUAGUCCCUGAG